RNAcentral lists this ribosomal RNA (441 nucleotides) under uncultured bacterium. Its description in RNAcentral is "partial 16S ribosomal RNA". It matches the Rfam family "Bacterial small subunit ribosomal RNA", at positions 338 to 795 of the family's 1533-position model. The record is from RNAcentral.
CCUACGGGGGGCUGCAGUAGGGAAUUUUGCGCAAUGGGGGAAACCCUGACGCAGCAACGCCGCGUGAUCGAUGAAGCCCUUCGGGGUGUAAAGAUCUGUCAGUGGGGACGAAACCUGACGGUAUCCACAGAGGAAGCACCGGCUAACUCCGUGCCAGCAGCCGCGGUAAUACGGGGGGUGCAAGCGUUGUCCGGAAUCAUUGGGCGUAAAGAGUUCGUAGGCGGUAUGUCAAGUCAAGGGUGAAAUCCCCGCGCUCAACGUGGGAACUGCCUUUGAAACUGGCAAACUGGAGUGUGUGAGAGGAUAGUGGAAUUCCAGGUGUAGGAGUGAAAUCCGUAGAUAUCUGGAGGAACAUCAGUGGCGAAGGCGACUAUCUGGCACAUAACUGACGCUGAGGAGCGAAAGCGUGGGUAGCAAACAGGAUUAGAUACCCUAGUAGUC